Molecule: transfer RNA, 57 nt
Filed under: Hydatigera taeniaeformis
Lineage: Eukaryota; Metazoa; Platyhelminthes; Cestoda; Cyclophyllidea; Taeniidae
Description: tRNA-Arg
Source: RNAcentral
AACAUAUAGAAGACUUAUGUUACGGCCAUAAGAAUGGUAAUGUUAUACCGUAUGUUU